Unclassified non-coding RNA from Homo sapiens (human), 104 nucleotides. The record is from Ensembl. Lineage: Eukaryota; Metazoa; Chordata; Mammalia; Primates; Hominidae.
AAUUUUGUGCUCAACCUCUCAGUACCAGGGUGAAAGUGGAGACGCAAUCUCCCUUGGAAGACGUUAGUCUCCAUCUCUAACGCUCCCGAGACACGGUUCGCAAU